Molecule: ribosomal RNA, 327 nt
Filed under: uncultured eukaryote
Lineage: Eukaryota
Description: partial 18S ribosomal RNA
Rfam family: Eukaryotic small subunit ribosomal RNA
Source: RNAcentral
CCCUUAGAUGUUCUGGGCCGCACACGCGCUACACUGAAGGAGGCAGCGUGUACUCCUGGAUCGAAAGAUUUGGGUAACCCGCGAAUCUCCUUCGUGCUAGGGAUUGAGGUUUGCAAUUAUCCUUCAUGAACGAGGAAUUCCCAGUAAGUGCAAGUCAUAAGCUUGCGCUGACUACGUCCCUGCCCUUUGUACACACCGCCCGUCGCUACUACCGAUUGAAUGAUUUAGUGAGGACUUCGGACUGGAACCGAUGCGGCUUUCGGGCUGCGUCGGUAUUCUGGAAAGAUGUCCAAACUGUAUCAUUUAGAGGAAGUAAAAGUCGUAACA